RNAcentral lists this ribosomal RNA (253 nucleotides) under uncultured bacterium. Its description in RNAcentral is "partial 16S ribosomal RNA". It matches the Rfam family "Bacterial small subunit ribosomal RNA", at positions 524 to 776 of the family's 1533-position model. The record is from RNAcentral.
UACGGAAGGGGCAAGCGUUGUCCGGAAUCACUGGGCGUAAAGGGUGCGUAGGCGGGUCUUUAAGUCAGGGGUGAAAUCCUGGAGCUCAACUCCAGAACUGCCUUUGAUACUGAAGAUCUUGAGUUCGGGAGAGGUGAGUGGAACUGCGAGUGUAGAGGUGAAAUUCGUAGAUAUUCGCAAGAACACCAGUGGCGAAGGCGGCUCACUGGCCCGAUACUGACGCUGAGGCACGAAAGCGUGGGGAGCAAACAGG